GGGGCCCUCAACAUCCCAGACCACCAUGCCCAUCUCUUCCUUGUCUUUGUUGCUGGACCUUCUUCAGCAUUGCUGAGAAUGUGAGGAUGGUCUCAGUACAUCAGUGAGAAGCAGCCACUGAUCUGGAGUGCAGGAUUGAGAUCAGUCUGGCCUCAUACUGUCAAUGGAGCUUCUGCUUCGGCCUCCAUCAUGCUGUGCGAUUAGAGAGAAGAAGAGCCACCGUGUUUGGCUGAAAAACCACCUUUCAGCUCUAGCAUUAACAGAUUCUAAACACAGAGCAAGUAUACUCAGGUGAAACCU
Long non-coding RNA from Mastomys coucha (southern multimammate mouse), 300 nucleotides. RefSeq lists it as uncharacterized. Lineage: Eukaryota; Metazoa; Chordata; Mammalia; Rodentia; Muridae. The record is from RefSeq and is a predicted model, not a curated record. The transcript is spliced from 2 exons.